Molecule: ribosomal RNA, 253 nt
Filed under: uncultured bacterium
Lineage: Bacteria
Description: partial 16S ribosomal RNA
Rfam family: Bacterial small subunit ribosomal RNA
Source: RNAcentral
UACAGAGGUCCCAAGCGUUGUUCGGAUUCACUGGGCGUAAAGGGUGCGCAGGUGGGUUGGCAAGUUCGAUGUGAAAGCCCCGGGCUUAACCCGGGAAUGGCAUUGAAAACUGUCGAUCUGGAGGAUUGGAGGGGGGACUGGAAUUCUUGGUGUAGCAGUGAAAUGCGUAGAUAUCAAGAGGAACACCAGUGGCGAAGGCGAGUCCCUGGACAAUACCUGACACUGAGGCACGAAAGCCAAGGGAGCAAACAGG